CCUACGGGAGGCAGCAGUGGGGAAUAUUGCACAAUGGGGGAAACCCUGAUGCAGCGACGCCGCGUGAAGGAAGAAGUAUUUCGGUAUGUAAACUUCUAUCAGCAGGGAAGAAAAUGACGGUACUUGACUAAGAAUCCCCGGCUAAAUACGUGCCAGCAGCCGCGGUAAUACGUAGGGGGCAAGCGUUAUCCGGAUUUACUGGGUGUAAAGGGAGCGUAGGCGGUGUAGCAAGUCAGAAGUGAAAGCCAGGGGCUCAACUCCGGGACUGCUUUUGAAACUGUUGAACUAGAUUGCAGGAGAGGUAGGUGGAAUUCCUAGUGGAGCGGUGAAAUGCGUAGAUAUUAGGAGGAACACCAGUGGCGAAGGCGGCUUGCUGGACUGUAAAUGACGCUGAGGCUCGAAAGCGUGGGGAGCAAACAGGAUUAGAUACCCUGGUAGUC
RNAcentral lists this ribosomal RNA (440 nucleotides) under uncultured bacterium. Its description in RNAcentral is "partial 16S ribosomal RNA". It matches the Rfam family "Bacterial small subunit ribosomal RNA", at positions 338 to 795 of the family's 1533-position model. The record is from RNAcentral.